RNAcentral lists this ribosomal RNA (256 nucleotides) under uncultured bacterium. Its description in RNAcentral is "partial 16S ribosomal RNA". It matches the Rfam family "Bacterial small subunit ribosomal RNA", at positions 524 to 776 of the family's 1533-position model. The record is from RNAcentral.
UACGGUAGGGGGCUAGCCGUUGUCCGGAAUCAUUGGGCGUAAAGCGCGUGUAGGCGGCUCGGUAAGUCCGCUCUGAAAGCCUGGGGCUCAACCCCAGGAGGCGGGUGGAUACUGCCGGGCUCGAGUCCGGAAGAGGCGAGUGGAAUUCCUGGUGUAGCGGUGGAAUGCGCAGAUAUCAGGAGGAACACCAACCGGCGAAGGCAGCUCGCUAGGACGGUACUGACGCUAAGGCGCGAAAGCGUGGGGAGCGAACAGG